RNAcentral lists this ribosomal RNA (326 nucleotides) under uncultured Fibrobacterota bacterium. Its description in RNAcentral is "bacterial SSU rRNA". It matches the Rfam family "Bacterial small subunit ribosomal RNA", at positions 29 to 351 of the family's 1533-position model. Lineage: Bacteria; Pseudomonadati; Fibrobacterota. The record is from RNAcentral.
AACGAACGCUGGCGGCGUGCUUAAUACAUGCAAGUCGAACGUGAAGGCGUAGCAAUACGUCUGAAAGUGGCGAACGGGUGAGUAACACGUAAGUAAUCUGCCUCCAAGAUUGGGAUAACCCUGCCAACGCGGGGCUAAUACCGGAUGUGGUCCAGUUGACUGAUGUUAGCUGGAUUAAAGGUUGAAAAGCCACUUGGAGAUGAGCUUGCGGCCCAUUAGCUAGUUGGUGAGGUAACGGCUCACCAAGGCGACGAUGGGUAGCCGGCCUGAGAGGGUGUACGGCCACAUUGGGACUGAGAUACGGCCCAGACUCCUACGGGAGGCAG